AUUGAACGCUGGCGGCAGGCCUAACACAUGCAAGUCGAGCGGAUGAAGGGAGCUUGCUCCUGGAUUCCGCGGCGGACGGGUGAGUAAUGCCUAGGAAUCUGCCUGGUAGUGGGGGAUAACGUCCGGAAACGGGCGCUAAUACCGCAUACGUCCUGAGGGAGAAAGUGGGGGGUCUUCGGACCUCACGCUAUCAGAUGAGCCUAGGUCGGAUUAGCUAGCUGGUGGGGUAAAGGCCUACCAAGGCGACGAUCCGUAACUGGUCUGAGAGGAUGAUCAGUCACACUGGAACUUAGACACGGUCCAGACUCCUACGGGAGGCAGCAGUGGGGAAUAUUGGACAAUGGGCGAAAGCCUGAUCCAGCCAUGCCGCGUGUGUGAAGAAGGUCUUCGGAUUGUAAAGCACUUUAAGUUGGGAGGAAGGGCAGUAAGUUAAUACCUUGCUGUUCUGACGUUACCAACAGAAUAAGCACCGGCUAACUUCGUG
This 484-nucleotide ribosomal RNA is filed under the name uncultured bacterium. RNAcentral's name for it is "partial 16S ribosomal RNA". It matches the Rfam family "Bacterial small subunit ribosomal RNA", at positions 30 to 507 of the family's 1533-position model. The record is from RNAcentral.